GAGUAAUCAAGCGUCUUAAGGGCAUUUGGUGGAUGCCUUGGCGCGCAGAGGCGAUGAAGGACGUGGCACGCUGCGAUAAGCCAUGGGGAGCUGUGAGCAAGCUUUGAUCCGUGGAUUUCCGAAUGGGGAAACCCAACCCGCAAGGGUUAUCGUUACCUGAAUACAUAGGGUAACGAAGCGAACCCGGGGAACUGAAACAUCUCAGUACCCGGAGGAAAGGACAUCAACCG
Molecule: ribosomal RNA, 230 nt
Filed under: Sulfolobus sp. A20-N-F8
Lineage: Archaea; Thermoproteati; Thermoproteota; Thermoprotei; Sulfolobales; Sulfolobaceae
Description: partial 23S ribosomal RNA
Rfam family: Bacterial large subunit ribosomal RNA
Source: RNAcentral